GGCGGUUCUUGGGUGACACACCCUGGAAUCAGGCUCCCUCCUCUCUGGUUCCGAGUGUGUCACCUGAGAACCACA
Non-coding RNA from Myotis lucifugus (little brown bat), 75 nucleotides. NCBI's taxonomy places the organism in Eukaryota, Metazoa, Chordata, Mammalia, Chiroptera, Vespertilionidae. The record is from Rfam.